RNAcentral lists this ribosomal RNA (253 nucleotides) under uncultured bacterium. RNAcentral describes it as "partial 16S ribosomal RNA". It matches the Rfam family "Bacterial small subunit ribosomal RNA", at positions 524 to 776 of the family's 1533-position model. The record is from RNAcentral.
UACGUAGGGUGCGAGCGUUGUCCGGAAUUAUUGGGCGUAAAGGGCUCGUAGGCGGUCUGUCGCGUCGAGUGUGAAAACUCAGGGCUUAACCCUGAGCCUGCUUCCGAUACGGGCAGACUAGAGGUAUGCAGGGGAGAACGGAAUUCCUGGUGUAGCGGUGGAAUGCGCAGAUAUCAGGAGGAACACCGGUGGCGAAGGCGGUUCUCUGGGCAUUACCUGACGCUGAGGAGCGAAAGUGUGGGGAGCGAACAGG